This 391-nucleotide unclassified non-coding RNA is filed under the name soil metagenome. RNAcentral describes it as "partial contains 5.8S ribosomal RNA, internal transcribed spacer 2, and large subunit ribosomal RNA". The stretch from base 1 to 120 matches the Rfam family "5.8S ribosomal RNA", at positions 35 to 154 of the family's 154-position model. The record is from RNAcentral.
GAUGAAGAACGCAGCGAAAUGCGAUAAGUAAUGUGAAUUGCAGAAUUCAGUGAGUCAUCGAAUCUUUGAACGCACAUUGCGCCCCUCGGCAUUCCGGGGGGCACGCCUGUUCGAGCGCCAUCACACCCCCUAAGCUCUGCUUGAUGUUGGGCGGCGUCCCGGGCGGUCCCUUUUGGGGGGCCCGCCAGUGGACCCGCCUGGAACUCCUGGGCGCCGUUGCGUCGGACCGCGAGCGUAGCAAGACCUCACCGUCGGUCGCUCGCCGGCCCCCGCGCACGGCCUGCCUUCUCGGGACCUCCUGCUUUCGGGCGGGGGACGUCCCAUCUCACGAGUUUGGCCUCGAAUCAGGCGGGGAUACCCGCUGAACUUAAGCAUAUCAAUAAGCGGAGGA